RNAcentral lists this ribosomal RNA (497 nucleotides) under uncultured bacterium. RNAcentral describes it as "partial 16S ribosomal RNA". It matches the Rfam family "Bacterial small subunit ribosomal RNA", at positions 28 to 507 of the family's 1533-position model. The record is from RNAcentral.
GAUGAACGCUGGCGGCGUGCCUAAUACAUGCAAGUCGAGCGAACAGACGAGGAGCUUGCUCCUCUGACGUUAGCGGCGGACGGGUGAGUAACAAGUGGAUAACCUCCCUAUAAGACUGGGAUAACUUCGGGAAAUCGGAGUUAAUACCGGAUAAUAUAUUGAACCGCAUGGUUCAAUAGUGAAAGACGGUUUUGCUGUCACUUAUAGAUGGAUCCGCGCCGCAUUAGCUAGUUGGUAAGGUAACAGCUUACCAAGGCAACGCUGCGUAGCCGACCUGAGAGGGUGAUCGGCCACACUGAAACUGAGACACGGUCCAAGCUCCUACGGGAGGCAGCAGUAGGGAAUCUUCCGCAAUGGGCGAAAGCUUGACGGAGCAACACCACGUGAGUGAUGAAGGUCUUCGGUUCGUAAAACUAUGUUAUUAGGGAAGAACAAAUGUGUAAGUAACUAUGCACGUAUUGACGGUACCUAAUCAGAAAGCCACGGCUAACUACGUG